This 1486-nucleotide ribosomal RNA is filed under the name uncultured bacterium. RNAcentral describes it as "16S ribosomal RNA". It matches the Rfam family "Bacterial small subunit ribosomal RNA". The record is from RNAcentral.
UGGCUCAGAUUGAACGCUGGCGCAAGGCUUAACACAUGCAAGUCGAACGGUAACAGGAAGCAGCUUGCUGCUUUGCUGACGAGUGGCGGACGGGUGAGUAAUGUCUGGGAAACUGCCUGAUGGAGGGGGAUAACUACUGGAAACGGUGGCUAAUACCGCAUAACGUCGCAAGACCAAAGAGGGGGACCUUCGGGCCUCUUGCCAUCAGAUGUGCCCAGAUGGGAUUAGCUUGUUGGUGAGGUAACGGCUCACCAAGGCGACGAUCCCUAGCUGGUCUGAGAGGAUGACCAGCCACACUGGAACUGAGACACGGUCCAGACUCCUACGGGAGGCAGCAGUGGGGAAUAUUGCACAAUGGGCGCAAGCCUGAUGCAGCCAUGCCGCGUGUAUGAAGAAGGCCUUCGGGUUGUAAAGUACUUUCAGCGGGGAGGAAGGUGUUGCGGUUAAUAACCGCAGCAAUUGACGUUACCCGCAGAAGAAGCACCGGCUAACUCCGUGCCAGCAGCCGCGGUAAUACGGAGGGUGCAAGCGUUAAUCGGAAUUACUGGGCGUAAAGCGCACGCAGGCGGUCUGUCAAGUCGGAUGUGAAAUCCCCGGGCUCAACCUGGGAACUGCAUUCGAAACUGGCAGGCUUGAGUCUUGUAGAGGGGGGUAGAAUUCCAGGUGUAGCGGUGAAAUGCGUAGAGAUCUGGAGGAAUACCGGUGGCGAAGGCGGCCCCCUGGACAAAGACUGACGCUCAGGUGCGAAAGCGUGGGGAGCAAACAGGAUUAGAUACCCUGGUAGUCCACGCCGUAAACGAUGUCUACUUGGAGGUUGUGCCCUUGAGGCGUGGCUUCCGGAGCUAACGCGUUAAGUAGACCGCCUGGGGAGUACGGCCGCAAGGUUAAAACUCAAAUGAAUUGACGGGGGCCCGCACAAGCGGUGGAGCAUGUGGUUUAAUUCGAUGCAACGCGAAGAACCUUACCUGGUCUUGACAUCCACAGAAGAAUCCAGAGAUGGAUUUGUGCCUUCGGGAACUGUGAGACAGGUGCUGCGUGGCUGUCGUCAGCUCGUGUUGUGAAAUGUUGGGUUAAGUCCCGCAACGAGCGCAACCCUUAUCCUUUGUUGCCAGCGAUUAGGUCGGGAACUCAAAGGAGACUGCCAGUGAUAAACUGGAGGAAGGUGGGGAUGACGUCAAGUCAUCAUGGCCCUUACGACCAGGGCUACACACGUGCUACAAUGGCGCAUACAAAGAGAAGCGACCUCGCGAGAGCAAGCGGACCUCAUAAAGUGCGUCGUAGUCCGGAUUGGAGUCUGCAACUCGACUCCAUGAAGUCGGAAUCGCUAGUAAUCGUGAAUCAGAAUGCCACGGUGAAUACGUUCCCGGGCCUUGUACACACCGCCCGUCACACCAUGGGAGUGGGUUGCAAAAGAAGUAGGUAGCUUAACCUUCGGGAGGGCGCUUACCACUUUGUGAUUCAUGACUGGGGUGAAGUCGUAACAAGG